ACCAAACCAAACCUAUUAUGAUCGGGUUUUUUUAUCCAACACCAAACCAAACCAAACAAACUACUACUCGGGUUUUUUUUUUCGGUUUGGUUCGGUUUGUCGGUUUGGUGCGGUUUGUCGGUUUUCUUUGUACAACCCUAUAUUUCUUAUAUAACUAUACCUAGUCUACGUACGUUGGAUUUAACGGGUGCUGGAGCACCACGAAAAAGCAGAUAGGUCCGCCCCUAGCGUGUAUAGAAGUUGCCCUAGAAUGAGCUCGAUAAGUCAGGGACCCAUAUAACUUUUUACAAUUGUCCACAUACAUCUUUAUCAUCUGAACAGAAAAAAGGAAUGGUUCAAGCGCAAUGUACUCACUAAAAAACGAGCUACAUUUUAUAACAAGACAGAUUAUUCCAGUGAUUUAUGAUUCUCAUGUAACUUCCAGGAAGGAGAACUAGAAAUUAUAACCAACCUCAGAUUACCACAACUCCCAAAAAUAUACAUAUAAAUAUAUACACAUCAUCUCCUCGUACCAAUAACAAAUAUCCUCAGGUUAUCCCCAACAGAUUCAAUCAUUCGCAAUAGUACUUUUCUGCACCUUUCCUUUCCACUCUUCUUUUGCGGCAAAGGACUAUUUUUGCAUUGGUUCUCUCGAGGUCCGGGUCGGACUUGAAGAGGGUUCGAUUGAAUAACUUAUAGUGUAAAAAGGGCCAAGAAAACCUUUUGUGUGUAUAUGUAUAUGUAUAUUGCUGAAUAUCUCUGACGUAAGAGAAGCUUUUACUGUAACGGUAAAAGGCGGUUCUUUCGGUCGCAGGUUCAGAUUUCAUUCUCACAUAAGGAAAGCUUCUACUGUAGCAGUAAAAGGUUUUUCAUGAUUUACUUUAGGUCGCAAGUUCAAAUUUCAAGUGUGUUAUUCUUGCAUUAUUAUUUCAAGUUCCCUACUUCCCGUGUUGUAAUUCCUAUAACUCCGUCUUAGGUGUGAUAUUUUUGCAUUAUCUUAACUUCCCUCAUCAGAAAUUUUCAACUCCGCCCAAAUCUCAUAAGGUGUAACAUUCUUGCGUCAUUUUAACUUCCGUUAUCAGAAUUCCCAACUCCACUCGAAUUUUAGGUGUGAUAUUCUUGCGUUAUUUCAACUUCCCUUGUCAUAAUUUCAACUCCACUCAGAUCUCAUCAACUGUGUCAUUCUUGUAUUAUUUUAACUUCCCUUAUCAAAAUUUCCAACUCCGCUCACAUCUCAUCAAGUGUGACAUUCUUGCAAUAUUUUAACUUCCCAUGUCAGAAUUUCCAACUCCACUGAAAUAUCAGCUAUGAUCUCGUGCAUGGCGGCAGUUGAUCAUGAGGACCCUUUUGGCUUUGAAGAUUAUUUUCCAUCAAUGAUUGAUUCAUUGGGGGUUGAAAGGUUCAUAGAGGAACUAUGCAAUGGUUUCUUUUUGCUAAUGGAUGUAAGUGUAGGGCUAAUCACCUUUGAAAGCUUGAGGAGGAACACAAUCUUGAUGGGGUUGCAUGAAUUGAGAGAUGAUGAGCUUGUUUGCAUGUUGGCUGAAGGAGAUUUGGAUGGAGAUGGAGCUCUUAAUCAGAUGGAGUUUUGUAAACUCAUGUUUAAAUUGAGUCCGGGAUUAUUGAUGGAUAGAUCCACGUAGCGAAUUGAUUACUUAAUUGGGAAUUUUGCUGUAAUUAUCUAGUAUUCGGUACUUAUUGGUUUGGAUUUUCAAUGCUAAUCCCUUUUUCGAAGUAAAGGUGAUUCGCAAGAUUGUGUUGGAUGAAUAGAUGAGUCUUCAGUCUCUUAACAACAAUUGAAUAGAGGCUUUGUUUUUUUUUUCCUACUUUGAGAUAAGGAGGAUGUAUUAAUUGAUCUGCCUUGUAAAAUGAUGAAUGGCCAUAGUGUAUCUAGAGAUUUCUAAUUCGUGAUACCGAUAUGUAAUCUAUUUGCUUCAUUUUAUAUAAGGAUGAUAUUUAGAUUGGAUAA
Molecule: long non-coding RNA, 1945 nt
Organism: Lycium barbarum (goji berry)
Lineage: Eukaryota; Viridiplantae; Streptophyta; Magnoliopsida; Solanales; Solanaceae
Exons: 2
Source: RefSeq, a predicted model, not a curated record